CGACUUUGUGGCUCGCUACGCUUUCUGUUGACCAAGGCUUGAUGCUGACAAAGAUGCUAUCAAACCAUUCUUUGUUCAGCUGUACCAACUCCUUCAUGCUUUCGCCUUCUCUAGGUGUUAAGAGAGCAAGGUUGUCACCCAACGAUCUCACCUUCACCAUAUUCAUACCCCCUCUUACAAAUUCUUCACCCAGUUGUUCAAAGUCCAGCUCAGCACAG
This 218-nucleotide long non-coding RNA is filed under the name Phaseolus vulgaris (common bean). RNAcentral describes it as "long non-coding RNA (PVUL_LNC002820)". The record is from RNAcentral. Lineage: Eukaryota; Viridiplantae; Streptophyta; Magnoliopsida; Fabales; Fabaceae.